UCCUAGUUAACCUAGGCAGUCUCAUUAGAGUUCCCACCCUAAGUGCUGGCAACUAAUGAUAAGGGUUGCGCUCGUUGCGGGACUUAACCCAACACCUCACGGCACGAGCUGACGACAGCCAUGCAGCACCUAUACAGCGGCUCUUUCGAGAGAUCCUCUUUCAAGGACUGUCCCCUGUACUUCUAGCCUGGGUAAGGUUCUGCGCGUUGCAUCGAAUUAAACCACAUGCUCCACUGCUUGUGCGGGCCCCCGUCAAUUCUUUUGAGUUUCACCCUUGCGAGCGUACUCCUCAGGCGGUAUACUUAUCGCGUUAGCUACGACACAGUCGGGGUUGAGUCCAACUACAUCAAGUAUACAUCGUUUACGGCAAGGACUAC
This 377-nucleotide unclassified non-coding RNA is filed under the name uncultured Simkaniaceae bacterium. Its description in RNAcentral is "contains 16S-23S intergenic spacer region". Lineage: Bacteria; Pseudomonadati; Chlamydiota; Chlamydiia; Parachlamydiales; Simkaniaceae. The record is from RNAcentral.